GACGAACGCUGGCGGCGUGCUUAACACAUGCAAGUCGAACGGAAAGGCCCUGCUUUUGUGGGGUGCUCGAGUGGCGAACGGGUGAGUAACACGUGAGUAACCUGCCCUUGACUUUGGGAUAACUUCAGGAAACUGGGGCUAAUACCGGAUAGGAGCUCCUGCUGCAUGGUGGGGGUUGGAAAGUUUCGGCGGUUGGGGAUGGACUCGCGGCUUAUCAGCUUGUUGGUGGGGUAGUGGCUUACCAAGGCUUUGACGGGUAGCCGGCCGGUGAGGGUGACCGGCCACAUUGGGGCUGAGAUACGGCCCAGACUCCUACGGGAGGCAGCAGUGGGGAAUAUUGCACAAUGGGCGGAAGCCUGAUGCAGCAACGCCGCGUGCGGGAUGACGGCCUUCGGGUUGUAAACCGCUUUCGCCUGUGACGAAGCGUGAGUGACGGUAAUGGGUAAAGAAGCACCGGCUAACUACGUG
Molecule: ribosomal RNA, 468 nt
Filed under: uncultured bacterium
Lineage: Bacteria
Description: partial 16S ribosomal RNA
Rfam family: Bacterial small subunit ribosomal RNA
Source: RNAcentral